CCUUUUUCUGUCCAUCUCUCUCUCGCUAUCCCUCUUUCUGUCCAUCUCUCUCUCUCUCGCUAUCCCUCUUUCUAUCCAUCUCUCACUCGCUAUCCCUCUUUCUUUCUUUCCAUCUCUUUGUUCUGGAAUGGACGUCCCAAAGAAAGAGUAUGUGAUGUUCCGUUUCUACAAAAACAAAUCUAGGCGGAUGUAGGUUCUGAACGAUACAGCUCUGAUGAGGGUUUUUUGGCUCAGUGGUUGAAGAACGCAAUAAGACUUUUUUACUUUAAGUUUUCGUCAGGAAAGGACUUGUAGCCCUUGGAAGUCAGUUGCGUAACAACAAGAUAUGGAGGAUGGUGUAUGUAUGAUGUAUAUACGUAUGUUUGUGUGUAAAUAAGAAGACAUUUAACGCUUGCUUUUACCCCUCUAUAUAUGUUCCCUUGGAGAGAAAAGAAAACAAACCAAAAUUAAAACGAGCCAAAAUACUUUUUUUUGUCAAAUACACGAUUGCUUGUAGGCUUUGUGGCUGGCAUUAGAUUGAUAUAGUUCAGUUGAAAUGGAACAUCGUGAUACUCAGGGUAAGAUGGGAGCGGCCAUCUUAGCAUAUCAAACCAUUGCAGAAAAUGACAUGGGAGGGCCAAUUAAAAAAGGGCAUUGUCAGUGCCAGUAAGUCAAAGCCAUUCUGUCUAUUACGACACUUUCCAUUUCGAACAUUAAAUGUUACAAAUAUUCUGUUAAUUUAUUUUACAAAUGUAAAAAGAUCAAAUUAGAAACAUUGAACAUCUUUAGAAGCUUUAAAAAAAAAAAAUUGUUUGACGGUUGAGUUGAAGUAGCUAAAGUAGCCUAAUGUAAUUAGCAUGGAGUUGUAAGUAACAAGAACAUUUCCCAGGACAUAGACAUAUCUGAUAUUGGAAAAAAAAUAAAAAAUUCUUGUUAAUCUAACUGCACUGUCCAAUUUACAGAAGCUAUUACAAUGAAAUAAUACCAUGCUAUUGUUUGAAGAAAGUGCACAGUUGUGAACUUAAAAAUGUAUUAAUAAACCAAAUAAGAAAAUUUGGGCAGUCUUAAAACAAAAUGUUGAACAAAAAUGCAAUGGUUCAUUGGAUCCGUCUAAAACGUUGCACAAACACUGCUGCCAUCUAGUGGCCAAAAUCUCAAUUGCACCUGGGCUUUAAUAAUACAUUAUGGCCUUUCUAUUGCAUUUAAAAAAUGAUGGUACGAAAAAGUACAAAUGAAACGCAUGUUGUUUUCUUUGUAUUAUCUUUUCCCAGAUUUAAUAUGUUAUAUUCUCCUACAUUAACUUAACAUUUUCACAAACUUCAAAGUGUUUCCUUUCAAAUGUUAUCAAUAAUAUGCAUAUCCUUGCUUCAGGUCCUGAGCUACAGGCAGAUAGAUUUGGGUAUGUCAUUUUAGGCAAAAAAUACUUUGAGGAAGUAAAGACUAUUCCCCAGGUGUUCAAGGUGUAAACUGAUCCAGAGUCAGGUCCUGAGCUACAGGCAGAUAGAUUUGGGUAUGUCAUUUUAGGCAAAAAAUACUUUGAGGAAGUAAAGACUAUUCCCCAGGUGUUCAAGGUGUAAACUGAUCCAGAGUCAGUCAGCCUGGUGCCUUUGGUGUCAGAAGUGGGAUCUUACUCUAAUCCCAUUAUAGCCAUGGUUAGAACUAGGGCAUCUGACUCAGAAUGGCAUGUAUGUGACCGGUGUAUCCUUUUCUUCUGAGAUUAAAAACAAAGGAACCUUUGAUGUAUGAUGUACACAUAAUACCUCAUUGCUGUUGUAUAAUUAAUUUGAUCGAGAAAAAAAAAAUGUGAUUUUUUUAUUUUUUCAUUGUACGCUUACAGAAUACAAAUGGAUCAACAUCUUAUUGCUACUGUACCAUGAAUCUGUAAAUAUUACUACUUUUCUUUUCAACACAGACACCCCCCCCCCCCCCCCCCCCCCCCCCGCCCAACACCCCCCUACAGUAAAAAAAAAAACAGUCAAAUGGGAGAGUUGUUUUUAUAUACAUAUUCUAUUUUUGCUUUUGUGUCUUUUGUCCAGUGCUCUUUUAAUGGAUAAAUGAUUGUUCUGUUUUGCUUUGUCUUUGCUAUUCUGUGUGUGAGAGAUCGAUUCGUGUAGAUAAAUGCUAUUUAAAUAAUUUAUCAGGAUUCGCUGCCUGCGGAAGGGGGCGUGUCCGUAUAUGUAUAAACGGUUUGCACACUGACAUGAGGAUGUUCUGUUUAUCGUUUAUGUUGUUAUUUUUACCGUUAUUUUUGUACAAUUUAGUGAGGCUUGUUGUCUGUAAACAUUUUUACUUAGUUGUGCAGUGUUUUUAAAAAAUGAUGUUUUUAUCCAUAGCAAUUAUUUUGUUACAUAUACUUCAGAAACAAUAAAUAGUUGUUGAAAUCCA
Oncorhynchus mykiss (rainbow trout) is the source of this 2364-nucleotide non-coding RNA. NCBI's taxonomy places the organism in Eukaryota, Metazoa, Chordata, Actinopteri, Salmoniformes, Salmonidae. The record is from RefSeq and is a predicted model, not a curated record.